AUGGCUGCAAAGAAGAAGAAGCUCUCCACAGCCCAACCUGCACCUUCAAGCCAAGAAGCACCUCACAUUGUCUUCCCAAGCAGCAUGACUGGCUCGAAGCCAAAGGUUACGUCAACCGCUUCAAAACAGAAGAAGACGAGGGCUGCCGAGGCUGAAGCCAGAAAGAUGAAGAAUACUGAAGCCUCUGAUGCCGCUCCCUCCAAGAAGAAGCGCAAGACCAAGAAGAAUAGGGCUGCUCCCACAGAGCCCUUGGUUGUUGAACCCAUCUCAGUGGUUCGCCCUACGUCUGAACAUCAAGAACGACGAAUGAUAGUUCAUGAGCCUGCUACCACAGAGGCCCAUGAAGCUGAAGACAUUCCAGCAGCUGAACCCACCGCUGCUGAAGACAUUGGCCAAGAUGACAAUGUUGAAGAUGAUGAAGUUCUUCCUCGGAUCGAACACAACGUGGUAUCAUCGCCUGUUCUCACGAACAGCAAACUCAUCAGCAUUGGUCGUCCUCUAACGCCAACUGCUCAGGAUGCAUCGUGGGCUGAUCACCCAUAG
This 543-nucleotide ribosomal RNA is filed under the name Triticum aestivum (bread wheat). RNAcentral's name for it is "partial small subunit ribosomal RNA". The record is from RNAcentral. Lineage: Eukaryota; Viridiplantae; Streptophyta; Magnoliopsida; Poales; Poaceae.